Long non-coding RNA from Musa acuminata subsp. malaccensis (wild Malaysian banana), 1045 nucleotides. RefSeq lists it as uncharacterized. Lineage: Eukaryota; Viridiplantae; Streptophyta; Magnoliopsida; Zingiberales; Musaceae. The record is from RefSeq and is a predicted model, not a curated record.
AGCGGCUGGGAGGACGGGGCGGGCAACCUGCCCGGGCUGCCCGAGAUGGGGGGCCUGCGCUCUAUAAGUUCCGGUGCUGUGUAGCUGAACGUAGUUUGCCGCUUUAGCUCUUUGAGUCUAUCUUCGAAGAUCUGAAGGAAAUCAAGGACAGAAAAAUGGCAUCCAACUUCGUGAGCAAGGAAGACGACCACGAUUACCACCAGCACUACCAGGCACCGUCGCCGCCGGGAGUUCGGAGGACUUGGUCCUCCAACUCAUCCGCCUGCGGCCAGGGGGCCGUCCCGAAGUGCGUGUGCGCUCCGACCACCCACGCGGGUUCCUUCAAGUGCCGUCUCCACAGGACGAGUUCCCACAGCCACACCCCCGCCUCCCCCACCUCUAUCCCUCCGCCGCCGCGCGUGAACACCUCCCGCGCCCCCACCGUGGAGGCCCAGUGACUACAAGAAAGCUUCAGAAGUAGGGAUAUGUUUGGUGAUUCCCGAUGGUUAUGGAGAUAAUUAUGGCGUCUAGAGGGUGGAGGAGAGAGAGAGAGACGGGUGUUACCAGUGUUGUAAUUAGUCCUUUCCCGUAAUAGCUAGUUCUGUUUUCCGUGUGUGAGAAAUGAUACCUCAUGUAGUAGUUUCAUUUGGAGAUCUUGUUGUUGUUGAAGCUGUUCUUGUAGAUAUUAUCCGCUUCCAAGCACCAAAGAAAACAAAAACGAGUGUUGCUAUCUGUAAUGUUCUAAUCCGAUCAACUCGUGGAUAAACAUCAGUGUUUGAGAAAGGACAGAUACAACAAUCAACAGGUGGCAGACUCAGUGGGGGUGAGACAAACGAGUUGACGUUUUUACUUUGCUCUUUACCUUUUUGCCACACUUUUUCCCUUCGUCGUUUGCUGUGGACAGCGGUAAUUGGUUGCCUUCGAUCUGCCCAGGUAUGCGAUCAACCAUUGUGGGUUCUUGGGCAUCAAGCAGCAGGAUGCAAGAUGAUUGCCCCCAGUGUGUUCCAUGAAUUGCGCGUCCUCUGGUCAAUGUCGGGAGCUUUUUACGGGGUGAUUCGGAUGAUGA